AGAAGUUUUGACAGCUUGAUGGUCUGGAGCAUUCAGAUGCGUGUUAACACAAUGUUACAAUCUUUCCAGGAGUGGACGUCAUAGCAAAUUCAACCUAAGGUCAAAUUUAAAACUGACAACAACAACAACAACAACAAAGCCAUCCUGGAUUAUUGGUAUAUUUCCUACUACAAACAACUUUCCCUGUAUUGACACCUAUAGGGAAAAUGGGAACCCGUGCUAAUCCCCGGGAAAAGAUGACAUCAAGUGGAAGCAGAGCAAGGGAUUAUGGGGGAUGUUGUGGAGCAUGAUCAACUGCCACUGAGAACUGGAUGGACAGGGAGGAAUUCUUCCCAGAUAAAGAUGUUGACUUUUGAUGAUGAAGCUAGCUGAAACUCCGCAAGAUUUCUUGGAUCCAUAUAGCAAUGGAAUUUCUGAGUUUGAAGCUUUGUUAAUGCCAUGCAGGCUGACUUACAGAGGAAGCAUCUUUCAUCAAAACGCCAACGCUCCAGACACCUGGUGUGAUAUUUAAAAUAUCACUCGUGCUCACAUUGUUUAAUUUGACCCUUUUUUAUUGCAGCAUAUUUAAAUCAACGCGGAUCAGUAUAGAGCAGUGUUCACAAAAGCAGUGCAGCAUUGAACUUCUCCAGACUUCACCUGACAGAUGUGCAUGUGACACAGAAAUGUACCACAUUAGUAGGUUUUUAACCUGUCACCUCACUAGUCACCACAGUUAAUUGCCCAGUGCAUUUAUUGCUAGCAAGUCUGCAUCCUGCACACUCUAUCCAGCCAUCUCUCUUCCCUGAAAAUGCAUCUGAAGCAUGCUGACCAGCUUUGUGCUGCAUGUGAGAGAUUAUGGCCAAUAUCCUCACAUGAUUCCCCUGAAAUUGUUCAAAGUUAAUGUGUGAAAAUGGCUCAGCAGUCACUCAUAUAGAGGACCCCCCUGAGAAUUCACCCAACCUCGCAGUUCUCUUCAUCUCAUUGAUUACAGCCUGUAAUCUUGGUAUUUUAACUGACUGUUACUGUGUUGGUGCAAGCAAACACAGCACCAAACGGCAAAAAAAGGUAUCUGGUGAACAAAGCGGAGGUUUAAAGAGAGGCGUUCAAAUUCAGAGUAGACUGAGCAGAGUGUAAAUACUGGACUUAGAUUCAUUAUGAAUUCAAAUGAAUGCUAAUGUUGCUCAGCAUCUGUUGGAAGUGUAAAUGAGCAACUGUUUACCACAUCAGAUCAGAAGGUGAUAAUGUCAGUUGUGUGUUCACAUCUUGAUUCCAAACCAGUGUGGCCAAAAAAUGUCUCAUUGCAGUAUUAAUGAUUAAUUUUUGAAACAACAAAGUUGGGGAAAAGUAAGAUAUUGUCAACAUACCAUUACAGCAAUGCAAUAAGUAUUAUUUUAUGCUUGAAAAAUUCCAAAAUAACAAAUAAAUGCAAAAUCAUGCCUUGAGUUUGUACAUGGAGAUGCUACUGAUUUCAGCUGUUUCUUUGCUCACAAGACCAAAGCGCCACAGAGGGUAGUUUUAUACCUUUGUCAUGGUCCUGGGUCUUUUGACCAAGCGUUUUGAGUUUUCUUGUGUUUUUGUCAUUUUUUUUUAUCAUGAUUUAUGUUUAAGUCCACUUUGUUAGUCUUGAGUUUAUUCUAUAGCGCCAAGAUUGUUCUGUUUAGCUUUUGAUUAUUAGAUUCCCUCUUGUGUGUUUGCUAUCUGUGUGUCUGUCUUUAUACUUGAGUUCUUGUGUCUUGCUUCCUUCUUCGUGUUUCAUUCUUUAUCCAUGUUUUCCCAGUCAUGUCUCUGUGUGUCUGUCUGCAUCUCUGUGCAUGUGUCACUGUUACUUCAUGUUUUACUGUUUUACUUUGGUAGUCUCCUGCCUGUGUGCGCCAUGUUUUGUUUCGCUUCUCUUACUUUGAAGGUUCAUUAGAUU
Oreochromis niloticus (Nile tilapia) is the source of this 1894-nucleotide long non-coding RNA. RefSeq lists it as uncharacterized. The transcript has 4 exons. The record is from RefSeq and is a predicted model, not a curated record. Lineage: Eukaryota; Metazoa; Chordata; Actinopteri; Cichliformes; Cichlidae.